This 229-nucleotide unclassified non-coding RNA is filed under the name plant metagenome. RNAcentral describes it as "partial contains small subunit ribosomal RNA, internal transcribed spacer 1, and 5.8S ribosomal RNA". The record is from RNAcentral.
UCUCCGUUGGUGAACCUGCGGAGGGAUCAUUACAGAGUUCAUGCCCUACCGGGUAGAUCUCCCACCCUAUGUUAUUAUUACUUUGUUGCUUUGGCGGGCCGUUAGGCUCCGGCCCGACUACCGGCCCCGGCUGGUAAGCGCCCGCCAGAGGACCCAAAACCCUGAAUAUUAGUGUCGUCUGAGUACUAUAUAAUAGUUAAAACUUUCAACAACGGAUCUCUUGGUUCUG